RNAcentral lists this transfer RNA (61 nucleotides) under Clinostomum complanatum. RNAcentral's name for it is "tRNA-Tyr". The record is from RNAcentral. Lineage: Eukaryota; Metazoa; Platyhelminthes; Trematoda; Strigeidida; Clinostomidae.
UCGGCUUAGUAUAUUGUGUACGCGAGAUUGUAAAUCUUGAAGUGAGUUAAACUCAGUCGAA